AGCCCCAUGUCGGGCUCUGUGCUGAUAGCUCAGAGCCUGGAGCCUGUUUCGGAUUCUGUGUCUCCCUCUCUCUCUCUGACCCUCCCCAGUUCAUGCUCUGUCUCUCCCUGUCUCAAAAAUAAAUAAACGUUAAAAAAAAAUAAUAAAAAAAAUAAAAAAAUCAAUGCAUUAUAUUAUCAGAGUGUAACCAAGAAAACAGAAACCACCUUAAGACUUUCCAACACAGUGAAUUUAAUUCAAGGAUUUAUUACACAGGUGAUGGAAGUUCUGAGACCCACAGAGGAGGUAGUAAGGUAUUCCAAAGUUAAACAGCAGGAAAUCACUACCAUCUCUGAGCUAGAAAGAUAGAACAUGUAGUGGUAUUAAUGCCCAGGGAGUCAUCAGGUGGAAGCUGGAACUAAGACAAACCUGCUGAGCCAUGAAACCAAGGAGCUGUAGCCAUAAAGGAGAAGCAAAUGUUGAGAAGAUGCCUCAGGUAGAGAGGCAGGAAGAGAAAGGCCCUGGCUUCUCUCCCACCCUAUUCAAUCUCUGACCCGUGUCUUUCUUUGUCAAAACUCAGCCAGAAGACAGCUGAUCUGGGAUCCUGGGAAACACGGACUGCAGGGCUCAGUCUCUCCCUCUAAUGGAGAGCUGAGCUGGAGAAAGACAAAGGAUGGAGCCACAAUGCCCAAGCUCCUAGCCACAGGGCCUAUAGAUCAUGUCAUUGGAUACUCCAGAAAAUGAAUAUGUCUUGAAGUGCAUGGAGUGUGUGAUUAAAUCCCUGAGUAGGAUAUUGAACCAGCCCUGCAUCCCAGGUAUAA
This 800-nucleotide long non-coding RNA is filed under the name Felis catus (domestic cat). RNAcentral describes it as "lncRNA (ENSFCAG00000050088.1)". Lineage: Eukaryota; Metazoa; Chordata; Mammalia; Carnivora; Felidae. The record is from RNAcentral.